CAGUAGCCGCGGGAAUACGUAGGUGGCAAGCGUUGUCCGGAAUUAUUGGGCGUAAAGGGCUCGCAGGCGGUUUCUCAAGUCUGAUGUGAAAGCCCCCGGCUCAACCGGGGAGGGUCAUUGGAAACUGGGAAACUUGAGUGCAAAAGAGGAGAGUGGAAUUCCACGUGUAGCGGUGAAAUGCGUAGAGAUGUGGAGGAACACCAGUGGCGAAGGCGACUCUCUGGUCUGUAACUGACGCUGAGGAGCGAAAGCGUGGGGAGCGAACAGGAUUAGAUACCCCCGUAGUCCCUGUCUCUUAUAC
This 301-nucleotide ribosomal RNA is filed under the name uncultured bacterium. RNAcentral's name for it is "partial 16S ribosomal RNA". It matches the Rfam family "Bacterial small subunit ribosomal RNA", at positions 509 to 807 of the family's 1533-position model. The record is from RNAcentral.